AGGCAUGCAGGUUUGUUGUUAGAAUUAAUUAAUGGGUUAUUAAUAAGAAAUGUAGAUAAUGUAUGCUGCAGAACUCUGAAAAUCCUGAAACACACCCUAAGGGUUAUGGAAUUUACAUCUUCCAUAGCUUCUGUUAUUUCUUCACUAGUUUGCAGCCAUACCCACACCUGGAAGGUGACGAAAGGUAGAGUUUACUUUCUCGCCCGUGUCAGCAGUCAUACUGUGGAAUCCAUGAAAGCUGGAUUUCCUUUUUCUGGUGCGUUUUUACUCUUGAACUGUGUAACUGUGGAUAACUUUAAUACUGCCCAUUCUUUGUUUACAGUUACAUAAUUUCUAUUGUCCUUAAAAGUAACCGACAUAUUUCUUUUUAAAGGUUUCAGUAAAAAACGUAAUCUGCAUCUUCAUUAUGAAACUCAUAUGCAAUUUUCUUCUAUCUCUAGAAUUUAGAUUGAUGUUUAAAAGAAUCAUUUUCAUUAUCAAGCUUCCCUAUAGUUUCCCACUUUUCUAUUCCAAAUAUUUUAAAAAAUCACACAAAAUGUCAGAGCUUUUAGCAAUAUAAAGAAAGAUUUAUUUUCAAAAGUAGCAAAACUUGUUUGAAAAAAAUAUAUAUCUUUAAGUGAAUUACUUUAUAAAUGUGACUGUCAAAGUCAGCUAUCCUAUGAUCUACAUUUUACAACAUAUUGUACAAAAGAUACAUUGAUAGGCUCUUAUCUAUUUAUACAUUUAUAAUUACAUAUUGCACUUGGACCAGCAAGGCUUGCAGAGUCAUUCACGGUAGAAGUUAAUAAAGUUAAAUAGAUGGGAAUCUUUGCAAGUACAAUUGAUCUCCUCUGGUUUGGAAACGAAUCUCCUCGUCGUUGUAAAGUGUUCUCGCGGGGUGGGACAGAGAGAGGAGCAUUGCGAGGGGGAAGCAGAGACAGAGAGCACGGAGGGCAGGGGUCGACUUCCCGGGGCCCGCUCCCCCCGGGAGCGCGCCUUUCCCAGACUCGCACCUCCAAGGUCAGGACGCCGUGGUUCCACAUAAGCGGCUCGCGGUCACCACUUCUUUCAGGUCACUCUCGGGUUUCCCGGCCACCAAGAAGGGCCACGUCUGCGGGAAAGAAGAGGGUGGAGGAGGUCCUCCACAUCGCUGAGGGAGCCGGUGGACAUGUUUGGGGGAGUGGACGAGGGAGAGAGGGAGAGAGAGAGACAGAGAGAGAGAGAGAGAGAGAGAGAGGCAGAGAGAGAGAGAGAGAGGCCCUGAAAGCAAGGGGCCUCCCGAGUGUGGCGCAGCCACCUCCUGUUGGGAGCUGGAGUUGGGGUCUGGUUGGGUUUCACAACCCUUUCCCCUUCGCACAGUUGUGAGAAGGAACCUAGAGGACUUCUGCAGCAGAGGAACCGGCUCUCUGUUUCCCCACUCCCAGAGUCGUGGCCGUAGAGGAGUGUGAGCGAGCGCUGAGGAAUUUGGUGGACACUAGGAAUUUAUCUGGGGAAUAGAGGGGCGGAUCUUUGCAGCCCAGGGGAGGGGCCUGCCAGGCCCCAGCAAAGCGCUUAGACCCCUUUCACAACCGGAGGGAAACUCAUUGCACAGACCCUAAUUUGCAACUUGUAAUGUAAAUCAACUCAACUGCAUCAUGUACUUACCAGCCACCUUCUCCCAACUGUGGCCGGCCGAGGAGAAUCAUGUCCUGUCCAUCUCUAAAAGGCCUUUCCCUCUUAAGACAUCACAGCUGGUUGUUACUGAGAACUUUAGAAAAACGACUAGAUCCUUUGGCUCUUUCUGGGCCUUCCACCUACGAAUCUCACAAGCACUCCAUUCCCUCUCUCCUCUCAAGAAAACACAAGUAAAAAAUACAGGGAGUAUCAACUGCAUCCUGCCAACACCUCAUAAGACUCCAAGGCUUUACCAAGAUCUCCUUCCACCUUCCCCGGGAUAAAUGAGGACAAGUGCUUCCUAGAAUCUUUAUGGUGAUGGAAAAGUGGAGAUUUAAAUGACCACAUCCACCCUAAGAUUUAUUGUGAGAAUGAUUGAUGUUAUAAACCAGGAAAGGACUCUUCCCACAGCAGGGAUGACAGAAAUAUCAAGUUGAAGUUGCCUUUGUCUUCACGUACAAAUGACCCAGUACUACAACACAGAAAGUAUAAUAAUUUCAUCUGAGGUUCAAGACAGCAGUAAGAGAACACCCAGCAGGCCUGUUAAAAUUUUCUUUACUAAUUCCCCAACUAGUUUCCUGUGAUUUGCUCUCCCUUCUCUCAGUCUUGGUAAAACAUGAAAGUUAAAGUUAUUUUUAGAGUAAAGAGCUCUGUGAAAAUGGGCAUUGGCCAAUACUUUGUGAAAUGUGUGUGUGCGCGCGCGUAGCUACUAAGAUAUCUGCAAAAUAACUACAAAUAAUUAAUUUGGGCUCUGGAAUGUGAUAAUUAUUAUAAAAAUUCAAACUAUGGCCUUACUACAUACCAGGCUAUUAAGCUGUGAUUUUUCUUGUUGGAGUCAUUUUUUUUUUUUCUUUUUGGCUCUGGUUCUCUGUUACACCUUAGUUAAUGGACUGCUCAGGCUGUCUGGGGGGAUAACAAUCAUAGUAAUAUGUACCACUGAAAAGAUUUCUGUUGUCUGUAUAUUUUUCAAUGUUGGAAACUUUAAAGUACCAAUUUCUGGAAGCAUGUAAAACUAGCCUCAUGUCAUAGGCUGGUUUUUAUGCUUAGCAAUUAUUUUUCUUUAUGGCCAUAUAAGAAAUAAUUGUCCCAUGUCCAUUUAUCUUGCAGUGAGACGUUUAGGCUGAGAAAGGCUAGUGGUCUGAUAAUACAUUUUGGAGUGUUUCUAAAAUUCUGUAAAAGAUGGCUUCCAGUUUGGGAGUAAGAUUUGAAGAAUGCUGUUGCUUACGUAUCUUGAUUUGAAGUCUUGGAGAAAGAAUAUUCAUAUGAAAAAUGCUUUUUUCUUUUAAAAUUUUGUGUCUAUCCCUGCUAAUAAACACUUAGGGACAAAUGGGUGGGGCAAAUGACUUCUUGUUGGACUCUACUGAGCAAAUCAGUUAAGCUGUAACUUAAGCUGUGCCAAAUUCUCCCAAAAUGUAAACUAUAUUCUGUGAGAAGAGAAGCACUUUGGAGAAGCUGUAUUAACCCUUUUGGUACAUUGACCAUUUCUGUUCCAAAGCAUGAAACAGAAAACUAGUGAUUUGAAAGUAUGAGAUCAUUUCUAAAAGUUCUUACCUGACUUUUAAGAAACAGUUAUGCCCCAGAGGCAUCUGGCCAAUUUGCUGCUCACUUCUAACAAUUUGUUUUGCAAGAAAGACUAUCUUUGAAAGAUUUUAGUGCUAAGGAAAUUUUAUCUCCAAAAGCUGUAAAAUGAAGAUUAGGCAUGGAAUGUACCCUUGAACUUAAAUCCUGGUUUAUCAACUGAUACAUUUACAGGAAGUUCAAAUUUGAUUCAGUUGCACUUGGAUGGAAUAAUUUGCUUCCUUUUUUAUGAGAAGGAAAACAUCAUAGGCUUCCUUUGAACUGACUUCACAUGCCAUUACAUAAUCUUUCUCAGGGGAAAAAUAUGCCUUUAAAUUUAAAUUUUAAUCCUUUUCUCUUUCUACUCAUCAUUUGGUCAGGAGAAACAUAGGCUGGCAAAUCGGCAAAACUGCCCAUUCUCUUUUUUCUUCAUUUCUAAUUAGCACCUCCAGAUGUUUUAUUGAUUUUGUUUGAUGGUAACUACCACCACUUCAAACAUUUGCCAACUUUCUAUGCAAGUUGAUGCCUUUUCUUUUUUUCACAGAGUCUGUCUUGCUCUGUCGCCCAAGCUGGAGUGCAUUGACACAAUCUAGGCUCACUGCAACCUCCAUCUCCCAGGUUCAAAAGAUUCUUAUGCCUCAGCCUCCUGAGUAGCUAGGAUUACAGGUGCCUGCCAAUACACCUGUCUAAUUUUUGUAUUUUUAGUAGAGGUGGGGUUUCACCAUAUUGGCCAGGCUGAUUUCACACUCCUGACCUCAGGUGAUCUACCCACCUCAGCCUCCCAAAGUGCUGGGAUUACAGGCAUGAACCACCGUGUCCAGCCAGGUGCCUCUUUUUUGAUUUUACAUAAUUAUCUCCAUACCCUUUGUUGGCUGCUGAUUGAUUAUUGUCUAUCUCCCACCUAUAUGCUUAUCAAAAUCUGACUUUGUUUCAUUAAAUUUUAACUUUAUUUCAUAAAGUGAGCAUUACCUCUCUUUGCUCAUUCUAAAUUACAGUGGUGCUGGCCUGUUAUGUUUUGGCAGCCAAAGUGAAUAUAGCACUAGUGAGCUUGGUGGCUAGCUAAGAAGGUCAAUAAUAGUGAUGCUAGGUGUUGCUGCUACCCUUACCUGGCACCAGCUGGGAGAUGGUAUAUAUCCUGGAUGGUAUAAAUCCAUUCAGUAAUCAGAAGUCUUCCACGUGUUCAGUAUACCCUAACGCCCUCUUUUCACAUUUAAUUCAGUGAAUUGUAGAUAAGAUGCCACAGUGCUAAGAUUUAAAGCUGGCAAAUAACAACAGUAAAGUCUAGAGAAAGAUUCUGCAUGGUUCUUUGAAUCCAAGAGUUAAUCUUGCAUUUCACAUGUUCCAUUAUACAGCUUUGAAAGCAGCCAAGCCUAUGUGCUUGAAAGUCGGAGUUUACCCUAAGGUGUAAGUGGGCCAGAGAAAACUCAGGCAGACAAAGAGAGUUAAAAAUUUUGCAAAGCCAGUUUAAUGUCCUCCUAAGUUUUCUAAUACUAGAAUAAUUUUAUUAGACCCUGUCAGUGUUAGGAAAGAGAGAGAAAAGGACUGAACGACUCCUGAGUCAGGUACCAUGCAAGGACCUUUGCCUCCAUUCUCUUGUUUCAUGUAUUUUCUCUCCUUUCUGUUGGCACUACUAAAGAAAGAGCUGCCACAUGAAAUGAAUAUUGUAUUAGAAAUGCAUGCCAGAGGCUUUCCCCUGUAAUAAAGUUUUAGAAAAACUG
Long non-coding RNA from Mandrillus leucophaeus (drill), 4907 nucleotides. RefSeq lists it as uncharacterized. The record is from RefSeq and is a predicted model, not a curated record. Lineage: Eukaryota; Metazoa; Chordata; Mammalia; Primates; Cercopithecidae. The transcript is spliced from 3 exons.